This 440-nucleotide ribosomal RNA is filed under the name uncultured bacterium. RNAcentral describes it as "partial 16S ribosomal RNA". It matches the Rfam family "Bacterial small subunit ribosomal RNA", at positions 338 to 795 of the family's 1533-position model. The record is from RNAcentral.
CCUACGGGAGGCAGCAGUGGGGAAUAUUGCACAAUGGGCGAAAGCCUGAUGCAGCAACGCCGCGUGAGCGAUGAAGGCCUUAGGGUCGUAAAGCUCUGUCCUCAAAGAAGAUAAUGACGGUACUUGAGAAUGAUGCCCCGGCUAACUACGUGCCAGCAGCCGCGGUAAUACGUAGGGGGCUAGCGUUAUCCGGAGUUACUGGGCGUAAAGGGGGCGUAGGUGGUUUCUUAAGUCAGAGGUGAAAGGCUACGGCUCAACCGUAGUAAGCCUUUGAAAAUGGGGAACUUGAGUGCAGGAGAGGAGAGUGGAAUUCCUAGUGUAGCGGUGAAAUGCGUAGAGAUUAGGAGGAAAACCAGUUGCGAAGGCGGCUCUCUGGACUGUAACUGACACUGAGGCACGAAAGCGUGGGGAGCAAACAGGAUUAGAUACCCCGAGUAGUC